UGAAUUCAGUCGUGAUUACCCCGCUGAACUUAAGCAUAUCAUUUAAGCGGAGGAAAAGAAACUAAAAAAGGAUUCCCCUAGUAACGGCGAGUGAAACGGGAAGAGCCCCAGCGCCGAAAUCGAUCAGUCUUUGGCUGCUUCGAAAUGUGGCGUAUAGGUGUAGUCUUCCAGCAGUGUCGUAUGUCCGAAGUCCUUGCGAUUGAGGCCAUAAACCAGAGAGGGUGCGAGCCCCGUUCUGGAUAGCGGCGCUGUUGGUUCGACUGCUCCUUGGAGUCGGGUUGCUUGAAAGUGCAGCCUAAAGUGGGUGAUAAACUUCAUCUAAGGCUAAAUAUUGACUCGAUUGCGAUAGCGAACAAGUACCGUGAGGGAAAGUUGCAAAGGACUUUGAAGAGAGAGUUCAAGAGAACGUGAAAUCGCUGGAGUGGAACCGGAGACAGUUGAUGUUGCUUGGAGACAAUCUUGGUGGCUGAUCGCUUAGCUGUGAUCGCCGCCGGGAGUCGUUUCCUAUGCUACGCCGACGGCGUUGGCCGCUCGUUCUGGCCCGACAGUGUUGCCCAUCUCGCAAGAGACGGUGUCUUGUUGUCGGUCGUUGGUUCGUGGUGGCUAGCGUUUAGUUCGCUAGUGUGUGUGACGUCGGUGUGAAAGUCGACGACGUUUCCGACCCGUCUUGAAACACGGAUUACGGAGUGUUUGUCUGCUGCGAGUCAAAGGGUGUAAAAACCUUGCGGCGCAAUGAAAGUGAAGGUUAGUCUCGAACUGACCGACGUGGGAUCCGUGCUCUUCGGAGUGCGGCGCACCACGGCCCUAUGCGUGUCACUUGUGACUGUGUAGAGGUUGAGCAGUAGGCAAGCGACCCGAAAGAUGGUGAACUAUGCCUGAGCAGGAUGAAGCCAGAGGAAACUCUGGUGGAAGUCCGUAUCGGUUCUGACGUGCAAAUCGAUCGAUAGACUUGGGUAUAGGGGCGAAAGACUAAUCGAACCAUCUAGUAGCUGGUUCCUUCCGAAGUUUCCCUCAGGAUAGCUGGAACUCUUGCAGUUAUAUUCGGUAAAGCUAAUGAUUAGAGGCCUUGGGGACGUAAUGUCCUCAACCUAUUCUCAAACUUUCAAUGGAUAUGGCGUCGCAGUUUCUUUAGUGAACUGCGGCGUGAAUGCGAGUUCCAAGUGGGCCAUUUUUGGUAAGCAGAACUGGCGCUGUGGGAUGAACCAAACGUGGAGUUAAGGUGCCUAACUUCUCGCUUAUGAGACCCCAUAAAAGGUGUUGGUUGAUAUUGACAGCAGGACGGUGGCCAUGGAAG
Molecule: non-coding RNA, 1294 nt
Filed under: Caenorhabditis japonica
Lineage: Eukaryota; Metazoa; Nematoda; Chromadorea; Rhabditida; Rhabditidae
Description: Eukaryotic large subunit ribosomal RNA
Rfam family: Eukaryotic large subunit ribosomal RNA
Source: Rfam by way of RNAcentral